This 305-nucleotide ribosomal RNA is filed under the name uncultured bacterium. RNAcentral describes it as "bacterial SSU rRNA". It matches the Rfam family "Bacterial small subunit ribosomal RNA", at positions 331 to 636 of the family's 1533-position model. The record is from RNAcentral.
CCUUACCUACGGGGGGCAGCAGUGAGGAAUAUUGGUCAAUGGGCGAGAGCCUGAACCAGCCAAGUCGCGUGAGGGAGUACUGCCCUAUGGAUUGUAAACCUCUUUUGUCGGGGAGCAAAAGACGCCACGCGUGGCGUUCCGAGAGUACCCGAAGAAAAAGCAUCGACUAACUCCGUGCCAGCAGCCGCGGUAAUACGGAGGAUGCGAGCGUUAUCCGGAUUUAUUGGGUUUAAAGGGUGCGCAGGCGGAAGAUCAAGUCAGCGGUAAAAUUGAGAGGCUCAACCUCUUCGAGCCGUUGAAACUGG